This 537-nucleotide ribosomal RNA is filed under the name Bifidobacterium breve. RNAcentral's name for it is "bacterial SSU rRNA". It matches the Rfam family "Bacterial small subunit ribosomal RNA", at positions 155 to 702 of the family's 1533-position model. The record is from RNAcentral. Lineage: Bacteria; Bacillati; Actinomycetota; Actinomycetes; Bifidobacteriales; Bifidobacteriaceae.
AACGGGUGGUAAUGCCGGAUGCUCCAUCACACCGCAUGGUGUGUUGGGAAAGCCUUUGCGGCAUGGGAUGGGGUCGCGUCCUAUCAGCUUGAUGGCGGGGUAACGGCCCACCAUGGCUUCGACGGGUAGCCGGCCUGAGAGGGCGACCGGCCACAUUGGGACUGAGAUACGGCCCAGACUCCUACGGGAGGCAGCAGUGGGGAAUAUUGCACAAUGGGCGCAAGCCUGAUGCAGCGACGCCGCGUGAGGGAUGGAGGCCUUCGGGUUGUAAACCUCUUUUGUUAGGGAGCAAGGCAUUUUGUGUUGAGUGUACCUUUCGAAUAAGCACCGGCUAACUACGUGCCAGCAGCCGCGGUAAUACGUAGGGUGCAAGCGUUAUCCGGAAUUAUUGGGCGUAAAGGGCUCGUAGGCGGUUCGUCGCGUCCGGUGUGAAAGUCCAUCGCUUAACGGUGGAUCCGCGCCGGGUACGGGCGGGCUUGAGUGCGGUAGGGGAGACUGGAAUUCCCGGUGUAACGGUGGAAUGUGUAGAUAUCGAGA